Molecule: ribosomal RNA, 378 nt
Filed under: uncultured eukaryote
Lineage: Eukaryota
Description: partial 18S ribosomal RNA
Rfam family: Eukaryotic small subunit ribosomal RNA
Source: RNAcentral
CAAUAGCGUAUAUUUAAGUUGUUGCAGUUAAAAAGCUCGUAGUUGGAUUUCGGGUGGGACGCAGCGGUCUCGCAUUGCGUUUGUACUGCUGCAGCCCUCCUUCUUGCCGGGGGCGGCCUCUCGGACUUCACUGUCUGGGGGUCAGAAUCGGCGAUGUUACUUUGAGUAAAUUAGAGUGUUCAAAGCAAGCUUACGCUCUGAAUAUAAUAGCAUGGGAUAACACGACAGGACUCUGGCCUAUCGUGUUGGUCUAUAGGACCAGAGUAAUGAUUAAGAGGGACAGUCGGGGGCAUUCGUAUUCCGUUGUCAGAGGUGAAUUUCUUGGAUUUACGGAAGACGAACAUCUGCGAAAGCAUUUGCCAAGGAUGUUUUCAUUGA